CCUACGGGUGGCUGCAGUGAGGAAUAUUGGUCAAUGGGCGGAAGCCUGAACCAGCCAAGUAGCGUGCGGGAUGAAUGCCCUACGGGUCGUAAACCGCUUUUAUACGGGGAUAACACCAUCCACGUGUGCCUUUCUGCAUGUACUUUGUGAAUAAGGAUCGGCUAACUCCGUGCCAGCAGCCGCGGUAAUACGGAGGGGCCGAGCGUUAUCCGGAUUUAUUGGGGUUAAAGGGAGCGUAGAUGGGUUGUUAAGUCAGUUGUGAAAUUUGGCGGCUCAACCGUAAAAUGGAAGUUGAUACUGGCAGUAUUGAGUACAGAUGAGGUAAGCGGAAUUCGUGGUGUAGCGGUGAAAUGCUUAGAUAUCACGAAGAACCCCGAUUGCGAAGGCAGCUUACUAAACUGUGACUGACAUUGAGGCUCGAAGGUGUGGGUAUCAAACAGGAUUAGAUACCCUUGUAGUC
This 460-nucleotide ribosomal RNA is filed under the name uncultured bacterium. Its description in RNAcentral is "partial 16S ribosomal RNA". It matches the Rfam family "Bacterial small subunit ribosomal RNA", at positions 338 to 795 of the family's 1533-position model. The record is from RNAcentral.